This 498-nucleotide ribosomal RNA is filed under the name uncultured bacterium. RNAcentral's name for it is "partial 16S ribosomal RNA". It matches the Rfam family "Bacterial small subunit ribosomal RNA", at positions 30 to 523 of the family's 1533-position model. The record is from RNAcentral.
AUUGAACGCUGGCGGCAUGCCUUACACAUGCAAGUCGAACGGUAACAGAUCUUCGGAUGCUGACGAGUGGCGAACGGGUGAGUAAUACAUCGGAACGUGCCCGAUCGUGGGGGAUAACGAAGCGAAAGCUUUGCUAAUACCGCAUACGAUCUCAGGAUGAAAGCAGGGGACCGCAAGGCCUUGCGCUCACGGAGCGGCCGAUGGCAGAUUAGGAAGUUGGUGGGAUAAAAGCUUACCAAGCCGACGAUCUGUAGCUGGUCUGAGAGGACGACCAGCCACACUGGGACUGAGACACGGCCCAGACUCCUACGGGAGGCAGCAGUGGGGAAUUCUGGACAAUGGGCGCAAGCCUGAUCCAGCCAUGCCGCGUGCAGGAUGAAGGCCUUCGGGUUGUAAACUGCUUUUGUACGGAACGAAAAGACUCUGGUUAAUACCUGGGGUCCAUGACGGUACCGUAAGAAUAAGCACCGGCUAACUACGUGCCAGCAGCCGCAGUAA